Molecule: transfer RNA, 72 nt
Filed under: Mus musculus (house mouse)
Lineage: Eukaryota; Metazoa; Chordata; Mammalia; Rodentia; Muridae
Rfam family: tRNA
About the family: Transfer RNA (tRNA) molecules are approximately 80 nucleotides in length.
Source: Rfam by way of RNAcentral
GGAGAGGUGGCUCAGUGGUUAGAGCACUUGCUGCUCUUGCAGAGGCCCUGGGUUUGGGUCCCAGCACCUUCG